UACGUAGGGGGCAAGCGUUGUCCGGAAUCAUUGGGCGUAAAGCGCGUGUAGGCGGCUCGAUAAGUCUGCUGUGAAAGUCCAGGGCUCAACCCUGGAAUGCCGGUGGAAACUGUCGAGCUAGAGUCCGGAAGAGGCGAGUGGAAUUCCUGGUGUAGCGGUAAAAUGCGCAGAUAUCAGGAGGAACACCAAUGGCGAAGGCAGCUCGCUGGGACGGUACUGACGCUGAGGAGCGAAAGCGUGGGGAGCGAACAGG
RNAcentral lists this ribosomal RNA (253 nucleotides) under uncultured bacterium. RNAcentral describes it as "partial 16S ribosomal RNA". It matches the Rfam family "Bacterial small subunit ribosomal RNA", at positions 524 to 776 of the family's 1533-position model. The record is from RNAcentral.